UAUUACACUGUGUAAGCUACAUCAGUCAGAGGAGGGCAUUCAAAACGCGUCUUGUUUCCCUUGAUCUUCAAUAUUUAACUAAUUUCAGGGCAGUUCAAAAAGCUACUUUGACUUCAUGUCACUGUUUUUAGCUUUGUAAUUGUAUUUGUGCACAAUCCACUGCCGGUCACCACUUGCCCUCUUAAAUAGGCCGAUCCUCUCCAAAAAUAAUAUUUCCGGGGGAUGCUUAAUGGAAGAGCCUCGCACAGAGAGAAGGCACUUGUGAAUUUACCUGUGAAUUAACCAUGACACCGGACCAUUAAAGGGACCUUAUAAAAGUCAAGUAGAAGGCCACUAUUCAUCCACUCCAUCCCGAUCAGUUUAAAGUCCUUUUCAUCUAAAACGUAUCAUCGGCAGAAACACAAUGAUCGGUAGAGGACAAACACUCAAUUAACAAAUGUGCAUAGAACAGCAUAUUUUGACCUGCUUUACUAUGGCACUUGUUUAUGACAGAAUAUACUAUUUUACAUAAUCUUUCCUUCUUUACGUACUUUAUUCAUCUGUCUGUUACUUUGGACAGUCUGUUCUGCUGGCAUUUGUAGCACACAGGUUUAUACAUGUAGGUAAAUUCCCCCAAAAUAAGCCACAGAUGUUUGAAGACGUGACCAUUUGGAAACGCCACCAAGUCUUUUUGUAAGUAUACAUAUAGAUAUUACACAUGCAAUGUUUUCAUGGUUUAUAGAUACUUGUUACUUAUGAUGUGUUCUCUAGAUCUUUAGAUCCCUAGAAGACCUCAUGAGGUGUUGAUGGCUGUGUGUCUGUACGGGUAAGUCCACGUUGUUUUGGAAUAAUGAAUAAGGUUGGGUAUUGUUUGGCGUUUUCCUGAUACUGGUGCUAAAUUGAUCAAAACUGUUCUGGCUUUUUUCAAAAAAAUAAAAGCACAAAAAAUUGAAGUGCUUGGAUUUGCGGAGGCUAUGUCUGUAUCUGUGUCUUCUAGGGAAAAGGAACUGUUCCAGGUGAUGCUGACAUCAGCAGAACAGCUUGGAAGGCAGACCAGAAUUUAUGUGUGUCCAGAUGCAGGCCGGCGAGUCCAGCAACCACUCACAAGGAGGUGAAAAGCGAUGGCGAAUGAGAAGAUGUCCACCUUCCUGCCUCACACAUGGAACAGGAUUGUCUACAGUGCAUCCAUGACGAAAUGAAGGGACUGAAUGGAGAAAACCGGCUUUGUUGCGGUGGUUUUGAACGACUUAAGAAAAUGACAUCCUCCUAACCAUGAAAACAGCACCUAAAGGCCACGGAGAGGACAACCUGGAUACAUGCCAGCCCCUUUAGGAGGAUUCCUGAUCCAACAAACGAUGUCUACCAGUGAUCGAAGGAUUCCACCAAUGACCUUACUUACUGUGUAUUCAGCAUUUCCCUUUUUGUUGGGGAGUCCAUUGAUUUGAAUGCUUGAAUUAUUUUGCAAAUUCUUGAAUAAACUUACAGAAGAAA
This is a long non-coding RNA of Hippoglossus stenolepis (Pacific halibut), 1470 nucleotides long. RefSeq lists it as uncharacterized. The record is from RefSeq and is a predicted model, not a curated record. The transcript has 2 exons. NCBI's taxonomy places the organism in Eukaryota, Metazoa, Chordata, Actinopteri, Pleuronectiformes, Pleuronectidae.